GUAACCGUGAGUCAUGCCGCCCCUGUCUACCAUUUGUAUCCGACCCGUCAUACACUAAUUAAUUCUUCUUGUAACUUGAAAACUAAGCUCCGGACAAAUUUUUGCAAAAGGAAAAAUUGUCUCUAAAUUCGAUUACAAAUAUGCCAGUUUCGGGACCAAUGUGUUAUUUUGAAUCACCCUGUAGAAGGAAAGAAUAAUAGAUACUUAAACGGGAACUUGAUAAAAAUGUAAUAUUUAUAUGGAUACCAGCGCACAUAGAGAUUCUGGGUAAUGCAGAUGAUUUAGCAAAACAAGCGUUGAAGGAGUCUCCUGAUAAUAGUAUAGAAAUCCCGUUGGGUGAUUGUAAAAGGGUUUUCAAAAUCAAGACAUAGAAUAUGACCUGAGAGAAUAUAAUAAAAGACGCACAAUACAAAGACAAAGAAUAUUUUAAAUAUUUUUAUACUAAGGAAAAAAAGAAGCCACGGUUUGAUGGUUUAAAUCGCGACCGAUAUUUUGUCACAUACAAUAAAAUAAAAGCAAAUCAUUACAAUGUAAAUUAUAGAGAGCGCUAAGUGUGAAUAUGGCAACGAGUGUGAAAGUUUGGAACACAUACUGUGGCAGUGUAGUAAAUACGAUAAUGAGAGAGCUAGGCUAGAUGACGCACUUAGGAGGAAAGGUAUUACUGAGGAAAUGGACUUAAAUCUAGCAAUUAAAUACAAAAAUUGGACCAUACUGAAUUGUAUAUACAUUAAGAAGAUUGGCAAAAUAAUAUAAAAGGACCACAAACAGGAGUAGAGAACCUGUGCUAUAUCGUCGCAACGGUAGAUGGAAGGCAUUAGCUUUUCCAUCCAGAGAAAAACUUCAAAAAAAAAAAAAAAUGGCUUUCUCAUUUCAAUUAUGCUCUAAUGACAUGUAUUUCUCACGUCUAAAACGAAAUACAUAUAUUCUUGAAAGGAAACGGAAAACGCAAAGAAACAAAAAAGAUGUAAUCUACAAAUUGAAUAAAUCUUGCAGUUUUUGUACUUUCUGACAACACUA
This is a long non-coding RNA of Solenopsis invicta (red fire ant), 1017 nucleotides long. RefSeq lists it as uncharacterized. NCBI's taxonomy places the organism in Eukaryota, Metazoa, Arthropoda, Insecta, Hymenoptera, Formicidae. The transcript has 2 exons. The record is from RefSeq and is a predicted model, not a curated record.